UACGGAGGAUCCGAGCGUUAUCCGGAUUUAUUGGGUUUAAAGGGUGCGUAGGCGGCCUUGUAAGUCAGGGGUGAAAGAUGGUAGCUCAACUAUCGCAGUGCCUUUGAUACUGCAGGGCUUGAAUGUACUUGAGGUAGGCGGAAUGUGACAAGUAGCGGUGAAAUGCAUAGAUAUAUCACAGAACACCAAUUGCGAAGGCAGCUUACUAAAGUAUGAUUGACGCUGAGGCACGAAAGCGUGGGGAUCAAACAGG
This 253-nucleotide ribosomal RNA is filed under the name uncultured bacterium. Its description in RNAcentral is "partial 16S ribosomal RNA". It matches the Rfam family "Bacterial small subunit ribosomal RNA", at positions 524 to 776 of the family's 1533-position model. The record is from RNAcentral.